Molecule: long non-coding RNA, 730 nt
Filed under: Homo sapiens (human)
Lineage: Eukaryota; Metazoa; Chordata; Mammalia; Primates; Hominidae
Description: HSALNT0150328
Source: RNAcentral
UUACUCUUCACUCAUACAUCUAACUCCAUUUUAGGAGCACAAUACGAUAGGAGAUUUUAUUUUUUUAAGAAAUUGGCAAUUAUUUGGCAAAGUCAUAUUACCAGCACUACAAAAGAGGCCAUAGGCCAGUAUGAAUGGCCAUGCACAGGGUGGAGGCAGAAAAGCACACACACCCCCAGUAAUUCUACCCUCUGUCUCCUUACUUCUUCCCUCCCUUCACGUUACGUGACACAGUAUCUCUUCAUUAGCGAGCAUGUACGAAAGGAUGACUACCGAAAUUCAACAGAAAGGAUUUUUGUUCUCUGCAUCUACAGGUUUUAUUUCUACUCACACUUCCACAUUUGAAGAAUAUUAAGUUAGAAGACAUUAUUUUCAUCUUCUUUUGUCUGAGUCAUGGAACAUGUACAUUUUUAUAUUAUUCGAAGGUGACCAAUGUGUAGUUUCAUAUUUUCAAUGUUUGAGUACCAUACUACUUGCUAACUGUUUGUGUACUGAGCAAAUAUAAUAACUAUCUGGGCCUCAGUUUUCUUACAUGUAAAAGAGGACUGUUGUUAGGAUUAAAAGAUAUAUAAACAAGACAUAAAACACUGUAAACAUGCUUAGAACAGAGGUGGGCACAAGUAAAACACUUAGUAUAUGUGAACUAUUCUUAAAUAAGCAAACAAAAUCACCAUCUUUAUUUAAUAUUUUCUAAAACUAUUUGUGGACUUAUUAGUGAUUCCUGUUAGCA